UUGAUUAAGGUUAAGUAGGUUCUUCAAAUAUUAUUUGAUAUCCACAAAACCUUCUUACAUUGUUUACUUUCAAUGUCCAAGUUAAAUCUCAACUCUUCAACUUUGACCUGUUCUUAUUCAAAUAUUUGUUGUCUUCCAAAUUCUCUCUUUGCUUCCAAGAGCAACUCUUCACACUUAUAUUACUUGCAAGUGGCAAAGCAAUGUCACUAAGUAUAAGUAAGCACAUAUUUAAACAAACUAGAGCAAGGAGAAAUCACACAACUACAAAGAUUUUCCUACAAGGGCAAUUGAAAAGAGACUAUGACAACACCACUC
RNAcentral lists this long non-coding RNA (315 nucleotides) under Physcomitrium patens. RNAcentral describes it as "long non-coding RNA (PPAT_LNC007057)". Lineage: Eukaryota; Viridiplantae; Streptophyta; Bryopsida; Funariales; Funariaceae. The record is from RNAcentral.